AUUGAACGCUGGCGGCAGGCCUAACACAUGCAAGUCGAGCGGUAGAGAGGUGCUUGCAUCUCUUGAGAGCGGCGGACGGGUGAGUAAUGCCUAGGAAUCUGCCUAGUGGUGGGGGAUAACGUUCGGAAACGGACGCUAAUACCGCAUACGUCCUACGGGAGAAAGCGGGGGGAUCUUCGGACCUCGCGCCAUUAGAUGAGCCUAGGUCGGAUUAGCUAGUUGGUGAGGUAAUGGCUCACCAAGGCGACGAUCCGUAACUGGUCUGAGAGGAUGAUCAGUCACACUGGAACUGAGACACGGUCCAGACUCCUACGGGAGGCAGCAGUGGGGAAUAUUGGACAAUGGGCGAAAGACCUGAUCCAGCCAUGCCGCGUGUGUGAAGAAGGUCUUCGGA
This 394-nucleotide ribosomal RNA is filed under the name uncultured bacterium. RNAcentral's name for it is "bacterial SSU rRNA". It matches the Rfam family "Bacterial small subunit ribosomal RNA", at positions 30 to 422 of the family's 1533-position model. The record is from RNAcentral.